RNAcentral lists this ribosomal RNA (511 nucleotides) under uncultured bacterium. RNAcentral describes it as "bacterial SSU rRNA". It matches the Rfam family "Bacterial small subunit ribosomal RNA", at positions 30 to 526 of the family's 1533-position model. The record is from RNAcentral.
AUUGAACGCUGGCGGCAGGCCUAACACAUGCAAGUCGAGCGGCAGCGGGAAAGUAGCUUGCUACUUUUGCCGGCGAGCGGCGGACGGGUGAGUAAUGCCUGGGGAUCUGCCCAGUCGAGGGGGAUAACUACUGGAAACGGUAGCUAAUACCGCAUAACGUCUUCGGACCAAAGUGGGGGACCUUCGGGCCUCACGCCAUCGGAUGUGCCCAGAUGGGAUUAGCUAGUAGGUGGGGUAAUGGCUCACCUAGGCGACGAUCCCUAGCUGGUCUGAGAGGAUGACCAGCCACCCUGGAACUGGGACACGGUCCAGACUCCUACGGGAGGAAGCGUUAGGGAAUAUUGCACAAUGGGCGCAAGCCUGAUGCAGCCAUGCCGCGUGUGUGAAGAAGGCCUUCGGGUUGUAAAGCACUUACAGCGAGGAGGAAAGGUUGGUAGCUAAUAACUGCCAGCUGUGACGUUACUCGCAGAAGAAGCACCGGCUAACUCCGUGCCAGCAGCCGCCGUAAAAC